UGGUAUUGAUUGGUGCUUGCAUCAUGAUUUACAUUUGAGUGAGUGGCGAACUGGUGAGUAACACGUGGGAAACCUGCCCAGAAGCGGGGGAUAACACCUGGAAACAGAUGCUAAUACCGCAUAACAACUUGGACCGCAUGGUCCGAGCUUGAAAGAUGGCUUCGGCUAUCACUUUUGGAUGGUCCCGCGGCGUAUUAGCUAGAUGGUGGGGUAACGGCUCACCAUGGCAAUGAUACGUAGCCGACCUGAGAGGGUAAUCGGCCACAUUGGGACUGAGACACGGCCCAAACUCCUACGGGAGGCAGCAGUAGGGAAUCUUCCACAAUGGACGAAAGUCUGAUGGAGCAACGCCGCGUGAGUGAAGAAGGGUUUCGGCUCGUAAAACUCUGUUGUUAAAGAAGAACAUAUCUGAGAGUAACUGUUCAGGUAUUGACGGUAUUUAACCAGAAAGCCACGGCUAACUACGUGCCAGCAGCCGCGGUAAUACGUAGGUGGCAAGCGUUGUCCGGGAUUUAUUGGGCGUAAAGCGAGCGCAGGCGGUUUUUUAAGUCUGAUGUGAAAGCCUUCGGCUCAACCGAAGAAGUGCAUCGGAAACUGGGAAACUUGAGUGCAGAAGAGGACAGUGGAACUCCAUGUGUAGCGGUGAAAUGCGUAGAUAUAUGGAAGAACACCAGUGGCGAAGGCGGCUGUCUGGUCUGUAACUGACGCUGAGGCUCGAAAGUAUGGGUAGCAAACAGGAUUAGAUACCCUGGUAGUCCAUACCGUAAACGAUGAAUGCUAAGUGUUGGAGGGUUUCCGCCCUUCAGUGCUGCAGCUAACGCAUUAAGCAUUCCGCCUGGGGAGUACGGCCGCAAGGCUGAAACUCAAAGGAAUUGACGGGGGCCCGCACAAGCGGUGGAGCAUGUGGUUUAAUUCGAAGCUACGCGAAGAACCUUACCAGGUCUUGACAUACUAUGCAAAUCUAAGAGAUUAGACGUUCCCUUCGGGGACAUGGAUACAGGUGGUGCAUGGUUGUCGUCAGCUCGUGUCGUGAGAUGUUGGGUUAAGUCCCGCAACGAGCGCAACCCUUAUUAUCAGUUGCCAGCAUUAAGUUGGGCACUCUGGUGAGACUGCCGGUGACAAACCGGAGGAAGGUGGGGAUGACGUCAAAUCAUCAUGCCCCUUAUGACCUGGGCUACACACGUGCUACAAUGGAUGGUACAACGAGUUGCGAACUCGCGAGAGUAAGCUAAUCUCUUAAAGCCAUUCUCAGUUCGGAUUGUAGGCUGCAACUCGCCUACAUGAAGUCGGAAUCGCUAGUAAUCGCGGAUCAGCAUGCCGCGGUGAAUACGUUCCCGGGCCUUGUACACACCGCCCGUCACACCAUGAGAGUUUGUAACACCCAAAGUCGGUGGGGUAACCUUUUAGGAACCAGCCGCCU
Molecule: ribosomal RNA, 1420 nt
Filed under: synthetic construct
Also listed under: 1 other name
Description: bacterial SSU rRNA
Rfam family: Bacterial small subunit ribosomal RNA
Source: RNAcentral